This 253-nucleotide ribosomal RNA is filed under the name uncultured bacterium. Its description in RNAcentral is "partial 16S ribosomal RNA". It matches the Rfam family "Bacterial small subunit ribosomal RNA", at positions 524 to 776 of the family's 1533-position model. The record is from RNAcentral.
UACGUAGGCAGCGAGCGUUGUUCGGAGUUACUGGGCGUAAAGGGCGCGUAGGCGGCGCGGGAAGUCAACGGUGAAAGCUUGGGGCUCAACUCCGAGUCGGCCGUCGAUACUCCCGUGCUCGAGCACUGUAGAGGCAGAUGGAAUUCCGGGUGUAGCGGUGGAAUGCGUAGAGAUCCGGAAGAACACCGGUGGCGAAGGCGGUCUGCUGGGCAGUUGCUGACGCUGAUGCGCGACAGCGUGGGGAGCAAACAGG